CAAUAAGCGGAGGAAAAGAAACCAACAGGGAUUGCCCUAGUAACGGCGAGCGAAGCGGCAACAGCUCAAAUUUGAAAUCUGGCUACUUUGUAGUCCGAGUUGUAAUUUGUAGAGGAUGCUUUUGGUGAGGUGCCUUCCGAGUUCCCUGGAACGGGACGCCAGAGAGGGUGAGAGCCCCGUACGGUUGGAUACCAAACCUUUGUAUAGCUCCUUCAACGAGUCGAGUAGUUUGGGAAUGCUGCUCUAAAUGGGAGGUAUAUCUCUUCUAAAGCUAAAUAUAGGCUAGAGACCGAUAGCGCACAAGUAGAGUGAUCGAAAGAUGAAAAGCACUUUGAAAAGAGAGUUAAACAGCACGUGAAAUUGUUGAAAGGGAAGCGCCUAUGACCAGACUUGUUUCUUUCAGUUUUGUUAGUUCUCGGACUGAUUUACUCUGUUAGUACAGGCCAGCAUCAGUUUGUUGUCGGGGAGAAAGGCUUAGGGAAUGUGGCUCCUUCGGGAGUGUUAUAGCCCUUUGCAUAAUACCCUUCGGCAGACUGAGG
RNAcentral lists this ribosomal RNA (539 nucleotides) under Chalaropsis ovoidea. RNAcentral describes it as "LSU rRNA". It matches the Rfam family "Eukaryotic large subunit ribosomal RNA", at positions 44 to 591 of the family's 3401-position model. The record is from RNAcentral. RNAcentral also lists the same sequence under 1 other name. Lineage: Eukaryota; Fungi; Ascomycota; Sordariomycetes; Microascales; Ceratocystidaceae.